UACAGAGGUCUCAAGCGUUGUUCGGAUUCAUUGGGCGUAAAGGGUGCGUAGGUGGCGCCGUAAGUCAGGUGUGAAAUCUCGGGGCUCAACCCCGAAACUGCACUUGAUACUGCGGUGCUCGAGUACUGGAGAGGAGAUUGGAAUUUACGGUGUAGCAGUGAAAUGCGUAGAGAUCGUAAGGAAGACCAGUGGCGAAGGCGGGUCUCUGGACAGUUCCUGACACUGAGGCACGAAGGCCAGGGGAGCAAACGGG
This 253-nucleotide ribosomal RNA is filed under the name uncultured bacterium. Its description in RNAcentral is "partial 16S ribosomal RNA". It matches the Rfam family "Bacterial small subunit ribosomal RNA", at positions 524 to 776 of the family's 1533-position model. The record is from RNAcentral.